This is a long non-coding RNA of Cyprinus carpio carpio, 1543 nucleotides long. Lineage: Eukaryota; Metazoa; Chordata; Actinopteri; Cypriniformes; Cyprinidae. The record is from Ensembl.
AGUUGCCAUGGCAACCGCGGACACGUCAUCAGCUACUGGAGAGGACGCGUCUGACACUUUCUCUGUUUCUCGUCAGUUAUACCAAAGAAAAGUUCAACAACUGCGACAGAUCGUUUGUUUAUUUCUAAUAAGGAGCUGGAGGCCCUGGAGAAGCAGAUCCGUGACCUCGUGGAGAAGCAGGCUCAGCUGAGAGAGCGGAGAGCCGUGAUGGAAACAUUCAGGGGUUGAUGCUCAUAAGUCCGGUGCCCGGUGUACCCAGGACGCAAUCUUUCCAGAUGUCCUUCACCCUGUGCCACAGCGUAAGACAUGAGCCAGGUCCUGGGCGACAACCUCUCUCCCCCCGCCGCCUCCGGUCUUCGGGAACUCCACUGGAAACCGAUUUGCUCCACUUCACGAGACAGAACACGACUCUGUGUUCGUCAGAGACUCCAUUAUCCGGCACGUUCGUGCUAUGUAAGCUGAAGGUAAUGUGCACACUCACUGUUUCCCUGGUGCUCGUGUUCUUGAUAUUUCUGCGCAGAUACCCGUGAUCCUGAAGGGUGAAGAGAGCAUCGGAGCGGUCGUGCUUCACACCGGGGUUAACGAUACCAAGCUGCGGCAGACGCAGACACUAAAGAGGGACUUCAGGAGCCUGAUCGAGACGGUGCGCAGCAUAUCGCCUGCACGAUGAUCAUCAUCUCAGCACCUCUUCUCAUGUAUAGAUGAGGACACGAAAGGUUCAGUAGAUUUUUUGCUCUAAAUGAAUGGUUAUUGUCAUGGUGUAAAGAACAGAAACUGCUCUUUGUUAAUAAUUGGAAUCUUUUCUGGGAGCGACCUAGGCUUUUUCGCGCUGAUGGCCUGCACCCCAGCAGAGUCGGAGCAGAACUCCUGUCGGACAACAUCUCAAGGACUCUACACUCCAUUGACUAGGCAGUUUGUGAAGACAGAUAAUCAAGAGAUGUGACAAACUGUACAGAAGUCAGUUCCAGAUCCACCCUCCACACCAGACCUCUCUCAUAUGGACUGCUGUCUACUAGCAUACUUCGGUGGAUUCAGAUAUUACUCAGGGACAUGAACACUUGAAUAUUGCAAGCAUAGAGAAAGUAAGAAUUACUGAAGAUUUAAGAAUUUAAUGUUAAUUGCUUAAACAUUAUAUAUACUGUUUUAGCAAUUAACAUUAAUAGUUUUUUUUUGGUGUCCAAAGCACCUAAAAGCCAAUUCACACCACCAUACUCCAACAGUUCAAACAAAACAAAAUAAGCAUGUUUUUUUAAAUAGUUUUUUUGGCAGUGUGAACUGGCCAUAAUGAUGUAUGUUAGGUGUGAGAUUCAUUAAACCUGAUUUGCUAUUAUACAUCUGUUCAUAAGAUAUUGCAUAUGAUUUUCAGUUAAUUGUUUGUAGUGGUUUGGUAAAGGGUGUGAUUAGCUGAUGUAUUAUUGUGGGAGCAUGUGAUUAGUUGAUGAAUUGUGUGCAUGGUUAAUGAUGGCUCUUAAGUAUUUAAAUGCAAUGGGCUGAGUGCCUACUAAGACUUGAAUAUUUCAUGACCCUGGAUGCUAACAGAAGG